GUCGGGUAAGGACCCAGCAAGACAGUAACGGAUCGGGUAAGGACCCAACAAGAUAGUAACCGGUAACGAGCAGACGAAGAAGAAGAGGGAGACCAAUCUUAGUUGGAAUAUUUAAUUGCCUUGUCUCCUUUUUCCUCACUUUAUUUCGUUUCUUUAUCAUUUUUGCUCGCCCACGAGCGAAUCUUCUUGUCUCCGAUCUCUCU
This 203-nucleotide long non-coding RNA is filed under the name Arabidopsis thaliana (thale cress). RNAcentral describes it as "ncRNA (AT1G09563)". The record is from RNAcentral. Lineage: Eukaryota; Viridiplantae; Streptophyta; Magnoliopsida; Brassicales; Brassicaceae.